CAAACGGUGGAGCAUGUGGUUUAAUUCGAUGCAACGCGAAGAACCUUACCUGGCCUUGACAUAGUAAGAACUUUCCAGAGAUGGAUUGGUGCCUUCGGGAACUUACAUACAGGUGCUGCAUGGCUGUCGUCAGCUCGUGUCGUGAGAUGUUGGGUUAAGUCCCGCAACGAGCGCCACCCUUUUCCUUAUUUGCCAGCGAGUAAUGUCGGGAACUUUAAGGAUACUGCCAGUGACAAACUGGAGGAAGGCGGGGACGACGUCAAGUCAUCAUGGCCCUUACGGCCAGGGCUACACCCGUGCUACAAUGGUCGGUACAAAGGGUUGCUACCUAGCGAUAGGAUGCUAAUCUCAAAAAGCCGAUCGUAGUCCGGAUUGGAGUCUGCAACUCGACUCCAAAGUCGGAAUCGCUAG
RNAcentral lists this ribosomal RNA (411 nucleotides) under uncultured Acinetobacter sp. RNAcentral describes it as "bacterial SSU rRNA". It matches the Rfam family "Bacterial small subunit ribosomal RNA", at positions 926 to 1338 of the family's 1533-position model. The record is from RNAcentral. Lineage: Bacteria; Pseudomonadati; Pseudomonadota; Gammaproteobacteria; Moraxellales; Moraxellaceae.